GAACGAGAAGCCACCUUCGGGUGGUGGACAGUGGCAGACGGGUGAGUAACGCGUGGGAACGUGCCUUUCGGUUCGGGAUAACCCAGGGAAACUUGGGCUAAUACCGGAUACGCCCUCNCGGGGGAAAGAUUCAUUGCCGAAAGAUCGGCCCGCGUCGGAUUAGCUAGUUGGUGGGGUAAUAGCCUACCAAGGCGACGAUCCGUAGCUGGUCUGAGAGGAUGACCAGCCACACUGGGACUGAGACACGGCCCAGACUCCUACGGGAGGCAGCAGUGGGGAAUAUUGGACAAUGGGCGCAAGCCUGAUCCAGCCAUGCCGCGUGGGUGAAGAAGGCCUUAGGGUUGUAAACCCCUUUCAGCGGGGACGAUAAUGACGGUACCCGCAGAAGAAGUCCCGGCUAACUCCGUG
Molecule: ribosomal RNA, 408 nt
Filed under: uncultured bacterium
Lineage: Bacteria
Description: bacterial SSU rRNA
Rfam family: Bacterial small subunit ribosomal RNA
Source: RNAcentral